CCUACGGGUGGCAGCAGUGAGGAAUAUUGCACAAUGGGGGCAACCCUGAUGCAGCGACGCCGCGUGCGCGAUGAAGUCUUUCGGUAUGUAAAGCUCUAUCAGCAGGGGAGAAAAUGACGGUACCUGACUAAGAAGCCCCGGCUAACUACGUGCCAGCAGCCGCGGUAAUACGUAGGGGGCAAGCGUUAUCCGGAUUUACUGGGUGUAAAGGGAGCGUAGACGGCUGUGCAAGCCAGAUGUGAAAGCCCGGGGCUCAACCCCGGGACUGCAGUUGGAACUGUGUGGCUGGAGUGUCGGAGAGGCAGGCGGAAUUCCUAGUGUAGCGGUGAAAUGCGUAGAUAUUAGGAGGAACACCAGUGGCGAAGGCGGCCUGCUGGACGAUGACUGACGUUGAGGCUCGAAAGCGUGGGGAGCAAACAGGAUUAGAUACCCCGGUAGUC
This 440-nucleotide ribosomal RNA is filed under the name uncultured bacterium. Its description in RNAcentral is "partial 16S ribosomal RNA". It matches the Rfam family "Bacterial small subunit ribosomal RNA", at positions 338 to 795 of the family's 1533-position model. The record is from RNAcentral.